Molecule: ribosomal RNA, 375 nt
Filed under: uncultured eukaryote
Lineage: Eukaryota
Description: partial 18S ribosomal RNA
Rfam family: Eukaryotic small subunit ribosomal RNA
Source: RNAcentral
CAAUAGCGUAUAUUUAAGUUGUUGCAGUUAAAAAGCUCGUAGUUGGAUUUCGGUUAAGAGCGACCGGUCCGCCGUUUGGUGUGCACCGGUUGGUUUUAACUUCCUGUAGAGGACGUGCUCUGGGUUUAACGACCUGGACUCGGAGUCUACGUGGUUACUUUGAAAAAAUUAGAGUGUUCAAAGCGGGCUUACGCUUGAAUAUUUCAGCAUGGAAUAACACUAUAGGACUCCUGUCCUAUUUCGUUGGUCUCGGGACGGGAGUAAUGAUUAAGAGGAACAGUUGGGGGCAUUCGUAUUUCAUUGUCAGAGGUGAAAUUCUUGGAUUUAUGAAAGACGAACUUCUGCGAAAGCAUUUGCCAAGGAUGUUUUCAUUAA